Molecule: ribosomal RNA, 494 nt
Filed under: uncultured bacterium
Lineage: Bacteria
Description: partial 16S ribosomal RNA
Rfam family: Bacterial small subunit ribosomal RNA
Source: RNAcentral
GACGAACGCUGGCGGCGUGCUUAACACAUGCAAGUCGAACGGUGAAGCGCCUUCCUUUUUGGUGGGUGUGGAUGAGUUGCGAACGGGUGAGUAACACGUGAGUAACCUGCCCCCUUCUUCUGGAUAACCGCAUGAAAGUGUGGCUAAUACGGGAUAUUCUGGGUCUGUCGCAUGAUGGGUCUGGGAAAGAUAUUGUUUCGGUGGGGGAUGGGCUCGCGGCCUAUCAGCUUGUUGGUGGGGUGAUGGCCUACCAAGGCGGUGACGGGUAGCCGGCCUGAGAGGGUGGACGGUCACACUGGGACUGAGACACGGCCCAGACUCCUACGGGAGGCAGCAGUGGGGAAUAUUGCACAAUGGGCGCAAGCCUGAUGCAGCGACGCCGCGUGAGGGAUGGAGGCCUUCGGGUUGUGAACCUCUUUCGCCAGUGAAGCAGGCCUGCCUCGUUUGUGGGUGGGUUGACGGUAGCUGGAUAAGAAGCGCCGGCUAACUACGUG